Mus musculus (house mouse) is the source of this 4191-nucleotide RNA transcript. It is a transcript of the gene named predicted gene, 36118, with no coding region annotated. Lineage: Eukaryota; Metazoa; Chordata; Mammalia; Rodentia; Muridae. The record is from RefSeq and is a predicted model, not a curated record. The transcript is spliced from 2 exons.
GGACAGGCCUGUAGGAGCGCAGCAGGGACCACAAGGGCAGAGGACCCCAGUGGAAUCAGAUAUCUCCCACAAAAGAGACACUAGCCCUUGUAUGUACGUCCCUGAUGGUGGGAGGGUGAGCAGAAAUCGCUCCUCUGGAUGGAGAGAAAGUGGGAAGGUCCAAUGAGUGGUAAGAGGCCAACUCUGUGCCCCCCCCCUCCCCUCGCCUCUGCCUUUCCUCGCCUUCCAUCUGUCUUUGACAGAUCACAGUGAGGCUGUGACUCAGCUCCAUAGGCCGCGCCAGGAACGCUAUCUCAAGUACAAACCCCCACCCCGGGCCAGAUCUGAGGACUGAGUGCAAAGGCCACCUCAAAUUUAAAACGUGCCUUCCCUGGGGGUAGAGUGUUAUCAGCCUAGUGGGGUGGCUGCACGCCUCUUUGAGCUAGUUGCCUGGGCUCCACAAUAGAGAGUGGCGGGGAUCCCCUAUGUGUGCAGAAGCUAAACUGUGAAUCUUCUUGGUCCCCUUCCUCUUUCUGUGCAGGACACUGGCACCAACGCCAAUGCUGUGGCAUCGUCCACAAGCCACUUGACUGUCCCAGCUGUGGCCUCCAGAGGCCACCAGCUCCCGCAGGGAAACCGAAACCCGAGCUGACUCAGGGACUGCCGGGAUUCCUGUUUUUGAUUUCUCACUACAGGACAAGCGUUUCACUGUGGCAUCCUGUUUGCCUCUAAGUCCAGAGGCCUCAGCAAGGAUCUCUGCAAAACCCUUCUCACACCGAUUCCUGCCCGGUAGUGCCUAACCGGAAGCCACGGUUUAGAGGAUGCUCCUGCAAAGGGUACCUGAACCAGAAGCUCCGAGCCGCUUGUCCGAGAUUGACAUAGGAGAAAGGAAUUUUUUACUUCUUUGAUCUGCAGUCUCCUCACCAGUCCAACAGGGAUCCCUCACAGGCUGCUGGCAAGGAGGGAGGAGGUAAAGAGGUAAAGGGGAGGGGUAGAGAAAAGCAGAAAAGGCCCCAGGAGCGAGCCAUUAAGGAAAGGGCAUCCGGAUUGUAAUUACUACCACUCAGCCUGGUCACCAGACACCAGGGGUCCAAGAGGUCCCCAGGGCCUUAAAAGGGAAUAGGGCCUGAUUUCUGGAGCUCCACCCCCUGCGCCCUCAGAGACUCCAAGUCUCAGGCUUGGCAUUUCCUGUUGAUGUGAGGUUUGCUUUUUUUUUUUUUAACAGCUUCUCUCUACUAGUUCCCUCUGGUGGUGGGGGGGGGGGGGGACAGGAUCUCAGGAGCCUGACACUUGCUUCCUGGUAGGGACUCAAGCUGCUGGGACUGAGGAGUACUAAAGGAAGGGGUGUCCUUGGAGUGCUGGAGUGCUGUAGGAACUGGGGGGGGGCUCCCCAGAAAGAUGUAGGUAGACUGCAGUAAUAGUCUAAGGGGGCCUGUUUUAGGACUCAGGCAAUAGGCAGUUGUGAGUGAAUGUAGGAAGUCCAUCACCCCGGGGCCUGGUGAACUCAGUCAGAGCCCCGAGGCUCCACUUACAGUGGCUGUGAUCACUGGGACUAUCUAUGUCAAGAAGACACUGGUAAUUAAGGUACACAGGGCAGAUGAUGCAUGGCUUAUCGGCCAGAGUAAUGACUGUUAGAGCUGCCACUAGAUAGAGGUGACAGCAUGACUGAGCUGGGUAAAGUGGUGCGCAUCUGCCAUCUCAGCCCUUAGGAAGCCAAAGCAGGACCGUCACAAGUUCAAGGCCAGCCUCGGCUGACCACAAGAGUGGUCACAUUGUCUCACAGGGCCUCAGGGAAGGUUGGCACAUAUAACAGCCCCAAAGCUCUGAGUCUGUGGAACAUAUCCUGCCAGCAAGGAGGUGUCCCCUGGAACAUGGAAACUGUCGAUCUGCUGUCCUUGAAGCAAACAGUCACUAUGCCACAUUAACCAUGGUCCCACAAGGACACAGUUACUCUGUCACCACCACAGACACUAUGGCAGAGCCAGCCAUCACUGUCAUCAUGUCACAACUGCACUCUGUGGAGUACAGAUACAGCCAUGCUGUUACAGCUCUGUGACAGACACCAACAUAGUCACCCUGGGACAGUUACAGAAGCCCAGAAGCACAAUGCCACUGUCACAAUCACUGUCUUCAUAGCAGAGUUAGGCAGAGCCCCAAGUACAGGCAGCCCCAGCCUGUCACACACAACUGAAGACCCCUCCCUGAGGCUACCAUGGCAGGAAUCCCAGCUACUCUACACACCUUCAUCUGUCACUUCAGAAAGUCCUGCUGUGUUGCACUGGCUGAUCUUGCGAGCCUCACCUGCCUCUCCUCUCAUGCACUGGGAUCAAAAGCCUCUGGCUCUGUAUCCAGUAUCAUCCUUUGUAAGUGAUCCACUCAUUUUCUAGUGAGUUUUUCCUUUUGCCUUAGUUUCCCCUAUCUCUGAGACCCACAAGAUCUCACCCAGGGCAAUCUUCCUCCACCUGCUGCCAAAACUAUCUCCCUGAAAAGCCACAGAAAGGCUCCCUUACACUACCUUAGGGCUGAAAAUUCGUCAAUCUGGAUGGGAAGCAGUAGGAGAAAGUAAAAUCAAAGGGGUAAACUGAAGCACAAGUGCACUCAGAAAACAGCUACCUUGAUUAUAGGGGUGUGUCAACAUCUUGCCUAAGCUCCGCCCCAAACCCAGGUCCUGCCUCCGCCCCGCCCCUGGGGCCUGGAUCUGGUUUGUGAUCAGGUCCCUGCGGGCUCCUCUACAUGCAGCUCCCCAAGUCCGGAGAGCCCAGGUCAAGGGUCACCUGCCUGUGUAGAGGGCCAGAGGCACCUUCCGUUAGAACCCGCGGGCUCCCCCUGCAGACUGGGUCUGGAACCUUCCCAGCCCCUUCACCUAUCGCUCGCUCAUCUCUCCCAAAGGUGUGUGUGACGUCGGCGGACGUCAGCAAACAGCUGACGCAAAGCUUGCGGAGAUGAUGCCCUCUCGUUACCAUGAUGACCGGUGACGCACGCGCGCUAGAGAGGGUGCAGGUGCGGCAGUAGGCCUCUAGAGGCGCAGUGGCCCCUCUGCUAGUUCCUCGCGGCCCCACGCUGGGACUUCCCCGUCCGGGAAUCCCACGGAGGAGCCGGCCGCGUGCUGCGCGUGGUCCGAGCUGGGGGCCGGAGGAAGCGCUCCUUCGAGCUGUCGGGCUUUCUGCUACACCCAAAAUCCCCGAAAUAGCUGCGGUGUGCGGGGGCCGGCGCAGAGAGAGACGGCGGCUUCUGGGCACAGAUGGGGGACGCACAAGGCAGAGGCGCGGAGACAGACAGGGACUGGUGGAAAUAGAAACAGACAGACAGGGACACAGACACAGCUUGCGGUGACGGGGGAGGGAGAGACGGGCUACCUUCGCACCCUGGCACUGAAGAUGUGGGUUGGUGACCAUGGGUCCUUGAUUUUACCUUUCUGAGCCUCAGUUCUUUACAGACAGUGUGUCAUGUAGCUCAGGCUAGCCUCAGACUUCCUCCCUAUGACCUUGAAUAUCUUAUCCCUCUUCCUUCACUUCGGUGCUGGGAUUACAAGUUUGCAAUACUAAGCCCGUUUAAUAGGUCUAGUUUAGGGCUUCCUGCACAGUAUGCUAUGCAAGCACUCUAUCAUCUGAGGUACAUCUCCAGACCCAAAAAACCAAGACAUAAACAAACAAAAACCCCAAGGUCUCACUAUGUAGACCAGGCUGGUCUUCAAUUCACAGGUCCACUUGCCUCUGCCUUCUGAGUAGUAAAGGAAUUCACUAGGGGGGUUUCUGCUUCGUAUAUGCCAUCCUCCACUGAGUGCUGUCUCAUCUUCAAGGGCCCCAAAGGAAAAUGACAUGCCCACUAGAACUUCUGCUCUUCUAUAGAGUGCUUUAAUUUUUCUGCAGCAGGGAGGGCCGCAGUGAUGUUUUGUUAUUUUUGUUGUUGUUACUACUACUGCCUAUGUUGCCUAUAUCUCUGACCUAUAUCUGCCUACAUUGGCAUAUCAGCUGCCUGGGCUGAGGGAAAUGUGCUUGCUGUGUAAGCAUGGGGACUGAGUUCAGAUCCUAGUACCCAUGUAAAAGCUGUGUGGAGGGGUGCACCUGUAACCCUCCAUGCUACAAUGGGAGGUGGGCAUGAGGAUCCUGGGGCACAAUGGCAAGCUGGUCUAAAGAAAUUCUGAGGCGGGGCGUGGUGGCACAUGCCUUUAAUCCCAGCACUUGGGAGGCAGAGGCAGGCAGAUUUCUGAGU